UGGGGAAUUUUGCACAAUGGGGGAAACCCUGAUGCAGCGACGCCGCGUGAUUUAGAAGGCCUUCGGGUUGUAAAAAUCUUUUCUAUGGGAAGAAGAUGACAGUACCAUAGGAAUAAGGACCGGCUAAUUACGUGCCAGCAGCCGCGGUAAUACGUAAGGUCCGAGCGUUGUCCGGAAUCAUUGGGCGUAAAGGGUACGUAGGCGGGUAAGCAAGUUAGAAGUGAAAUCCUAUAGCUCAACUAUAGUAAGCUUUUAAAACUGCUCAUCUUGAGGUAUGGAAGGGAAAGUGGAAUUCCUAGUGUAGCGGUGAAAUGCGCAGAUAUUAGGAGGAAUACCGGUGGCGAAGGCGACUUUCUGGCCAUAACCUGACGCUGAGGUACGAAAGCGUGGGUAGCAAACAGG
This 402-nucleotide ribosomal RNA is filed under the name bacterium. RNAcentral's name for it is "partial 16S ribosomal RNA". It matches the Rfam family "Bacterial small subunit ribosomal RNA", at positions 355 to 776 of the family's 1533-position model. The record is from RNAcentral.